ACAAAGAUCACUGAAUGUAGUUAC
RNAcentral lists this non-coding RNA (24 nucleotides) under Cricetulus griseus (Chinese hamster). Lineage: Eukaryota; Metazoa; Chordata; Mammalia; Rodentia; Cricetidae. The record is from RNAcentral.